GUUCGCCUAGCUCAGCUGGAUAGAGCAACGGCCUUCUAAGCCGUCGGUCAGGGGUUCGAAUCCCUUGGCGAACGCCA
RNAcentral lists this transfer RNA (77 nucleotides) under Haploplasma axanthum. Its description in RNAcentral is "Acholeplasma axanthum tRNA-Arg(tct)". It matches the Rfam family "tRNA". From Rfam's summary of the family: Transfer RNA (tRNA) molecules are approximately 80 nucleotides in length. Their secondary structure includes four short double-helical elements and three loops (D, anti-codon, and T loops). Lineage: Bacteria; Bacillati; Mycoplasmatota; Mollicutes; Acholeplasmatales; Acholeplasmataceae. The record is from RNAcentral.